ACCUGAAGAUACCUUCCCGCGCAGUGUCCACACAGAUUGUCUGAUAGAAGUAACGAGCAAAGUAGUAUACAGAGUCCCCAUCGUCUAGAGGCCCAGGACACUGCCCUUUCACGGCUGUAACAGGGGUUCGAAUCCCCUUGGGGACGCCAUACCGGUAACGAAGUGAAAGCCGUUAUCACCCAGUAUCUCAAAACUGAUUUUCUCCGUAAGGAUGAAUCACGUUUGAGAUAUUUGCUCUUUAACAAUCCGGAACAAGCUGAAAAUUGAAACGACAUAUUGUUUUCAUUCUCCGUAAUAAGAAUGAAGGUGACGAUAUGUUCGAGUCUCUCAAAUGCUUACAGCUGACAGCGAGUCCUGCGGGACGCCUGUGGGUUGUGA
This 378-nucleotide unclassified non-coding RNA is filed under the name uncultured Erwinia sp. RNAcentral describes it as "16S-23S ribosomal RNA intergenic spacer". The stretch from base 237 to 371 matches the Rfam family "Salmonella enterica Typhi npcRNA 44". Lineage: Bacteria; Pseudomonadati; Pseudomonadota; Gammaproteobacteria; Enterobacterales; Erwiniaceae. The record is from RNAcentral.